This is a non-coding RNA of Macaca mulatta (Rhesus monkey), 2909 nucleotides long. The record is from RefSeq and is a predicted model, not a curated record. Lineage: Eukaryota; Metazoa; Chordata; Mammalia; Primates; Cercopithecidae.
UUUAGAGAGUAUUUCUCUAGAUGCUACCUACAAGUGCUGCCUAGAUGCCCUCAGGUGGAUUCUCCCUCUGCUUCAGCAGUCAGUAGCUCAGCUGCAGGCACUUUCUUGUCCCCUUUAACUAAGUGGAAAUUGGAAAGGUCUGUAGUUUUUGAAAAAAGAUGGAUGUUUUUCAAAUUUGUAACCUAAACCACUUAAGAAGUUGAAUGUAACUUCACAGAUGGUUUUACAGGAAAUAAAAGAUCAAGUGCUCACAAGGUUAAAUUUCAGGAAAGCCUUCUUGGAUACGAGAUAAAGGCGGGGUGUAAAGUGAAAACAAAAGUAGCUGGAGUUAGGUCAUUUGAUUUUACACUCUGUACUCAAGACUGCUCCUCUCUGUCGACUGCAACAGAUUGGAGCCAUGGCUUUGGAACAGAACCAGUCAACAGAUUAUUAUUAUGAGGAAAAUGAAACGAAUGGCUCUUAUGACUACAGUCAAUAUGAAUUGAUCUGUAUCAAAGAAGACGUCAGAGAAUUUGCAAAAGUUUUCCUCCCUGUAUUCCUCACAAUAGCUUUUGUCAUUGGACUUGCAGGCAAUUCCACGGUAGUGGCAAUUUAUGCCUAUUACAAGAAACAGAGAACCAAAACAGAUGUGUACAUCCUGAAUUUGGCUGUGGCAGAUUUACUCCUUCUAUUCACUCUGCCUUUUUGGGCUGUUAAUGCAGUUCAUGGGUGGGUUUUAGGGAAAAUAAUGUGCAAAAUAACUUCAGCCUUGUACACACUAAACUUUGUCUCUGGAAUGCAGUUUCUGGCUUGUAUCAGCAUAGACAGAUACGUGGCAGUAACUAAAGGCCCCAGCCAAUCAGCAGUGGGAAAACCAUGCUGGGUCAUCUGUUUCUGUGUCUGGAUGGCUGCCAUCUUGCUGAGCAUACCCCAGCUGGUUUUUUAUACAGUAAAUGACAAUGCUAGGUGCAUUCCCAUUUUUCCCCACUACCUAGGAACAUCAAUGAAAGCAUCGAUUCAAAUGCUAGAAAUCUGCAUUGGAUUUGUAGUACCCUUUCUUAUUAUGGGGGUGUGCUACUUUAUCACUGCAAGGACACUCAUGAAGAUGCCAAACAUUAAAAUAUCUCGACCCCUAAAAGUUCUGCUCACAGUGGUUCUAGUUUUCAUUGUCACUCAGCUGCCUUAUAACAUUGUCAAGUUCUGCCGAGCCAUAGACAUCAUCUACUCCCUGAUCACCAACUGCAACAUGAGCAAACGCAUGGACAUUGCCAUCCAAAUCACAGAAAGCAUCGCACUCUUUCACAGCUGCCUCAACCCAAUCCUUUAUGUUUUUAUGGGAGCAUCUUUCAAAAACUACAUUAUGAAAGUGGCCAAGAAAUAUGGGUCCUGGAGAAGACAGAGACAAAGUGUGGAGGAGUUUCGUUUUGAUUCUGAGGGUCCUACAGAGCCAACCAGUACUUUUAGCAUUUAAAGAUAAAACUGCUCUGCCUUUUGCUUGGAUACAUAUGAAUGAUGCUUCCCCCUCAAAUAAAACAUUUGCAUUAUUCUGAAACUCAAAUCUCAAAUGCUGUGGUCGCAAUUUACAAUAAAGAAUGGGUUGGGAGAAGGGGGAGAAAUAAAAGCCAAGAAGAGGAAACAAGAUAAUAAAUGUACAAAACAUGAUAAUUAAAAUGAACAAAGGAAAAUAAUAGUAACAGGCAUAAGUGAAUAAGAACACUCUGCUAUAAAGAAGAAGAGCUUUGAGGAUUAUAAUUUGAGCCAUAUGUCCAGUACUGAUGAAAGUUCUAUUUUUCUGAGUUUAUGGAAGAGUUUAAUAUUUUCAAAUUUGACUGAAACACAGAACCACAUCCUAUAUUUCUGCAGCUCAUCCAUAACUCCAGGAUGACUGACUACAAAGGAGAGAAUGGUGAUUGGCAUUUACCUGUCAUACAGAAGCAAGAGGUAAUGUUCCCUUGAAGAAGAGGCUCAAGCCACUGUUUCUUCUGUUCCUCACUUCCAUACAGGUGCAGAACCUCCAUGUUCCCUGUGUCUAUACAUAAGAAGGAGUAUUUGUUUUGCAUUUGAAAAUUUAUCAAUAUGAAAUCCACAACUUUAUAUAGAGAGUAGAGAAAUGCAUCUUUUUAAAGCAAAUGUUUGCAAACAAAAAUGUUUUGAAACAUAUAGUAAGUAUAAUUUACACUGACAGCAUGUCAUAAAUAUUUACAAGUACAUGGUAUUUGGUACAUAUUUAUUCAACUUUUUCUGAAUCACAGACUCUUCAUCAGUUCAUCCCAAUGAAGAAUGGCACUAAUGACGUCUAACUCAAUUAGAACUGAAGGAAACAAUUUACUGGCCUAAACCUUGCCUGCUGUAUUGCAAAUAUGCCCUGCUAGAAGUGAUUGCAAUGCUCCCGGAGAACAAUUAACAUUGCAUGUCCUACUGAGACUCCAGCCCUUAAUUCUAUCUGCUGUUCUUCAAACACACCCUAUGCUUUCUAAUUUCCACAUAUUUGCUUGGGUCAGGCUUUUUCUCUAGUGAAAUUCUCCCUGUCCUUCACAAGUAAACUCCUGCUUAUGAGCCACCUCCUCUGCAAAGAAUCUCUGAUUACCCAGUCAGUAACACCUCCUUCCUCUGAACUCACAUAACAAUUAUUUCUAUUUACCUCUAACAUUGCUCUUACUUUUAUGUACCCCAUACUACCUAGAAAAUACUUGAUAAUUCUCAAGGAUGAUAAAGAGAGAAUCCCCGCCCUGGAAAGAAAAUGGCAGUAGAGAACUUUAAAGACCUUCUCUGACCCUUGGAGGAUUUAUUGUUUAUAGUACAUGAUGCACUGUAGUAUCGCCCUUGGCUAACAAAGAAUUCUUCAUGUCUGCCAUGGAGUAAAAUUUUCUAGAUGGCUUCCUCUGAUUUUCCAUUCCUGUCAAAUUUCUUAAAAUACUGUCUAAAAUCUU